GACGAACGCUGGCGGCGUGCUUAACACAUGCAAGUCGAACGGAAAGGCUCCAGCUUGCUGGCGUACUCGAGUGGCGAACGGGUGAGUAACACGUGGGUAAUCUGCCCUGCACUCUGGGAUAAGCCUGGGAAACUGGGUCUAAUAAUGGAUAUGACCUUUCUCCUUAUAGGGUUUGGUGGAAAGUUUUUCGGUGUAGGAUGAGCCCGCGGCCUAUCAGCUUGUUGGUGGGGUGAUGGCCUACCAAGGCGACGACGGGUAGCCGGCCUGAGAGGGUGAUCGGCCACAUUGGGACUGAGAUACAGCCCAGACUCCCACGGGAGGCAGCAGUGGGGAAUAUUGCACAAUGGGCGGAAGCCUGAUGCAGCGACGCCGCGUGAGGGAUGACGGCCUUCGGGUUGUAAACCUCUUUCAGCAGGGACGAAGCGUAAGUGACGGUACCUGCAGAAGAAGCACCGGCUAACUAUGUG
RNAcentral lists this ribosomal RNA (467 nucleotides) under uncultured bacterium. RNAcentral's name for it is "partial 16S ribosomal RNA". It matches the Rfam family "Bacterial small subunit ribosomal RNA", at positions 28 to 507 of the family's 1533-position model. The record is from RNAcentral.